AUUUUUAAACAAUCUAAAAUUUGAACUGCAUACGGCUCUUCUCCUUCAAUCACCAACAUCGCCCUAAUUCUCUCUCUCCUGUUCAGAUGGUGGCGGGCUAUCAAAGGCAACCAGCACCUACACAGAUUUUUCUUCCAUCUCUGUCAUUCUUUCUUCGAUCUGGAAUUUUGUGAUUUUGACCUUCACCCGAUUGAUACUUUCUGCGGAGAAUUGAAGGCCUAGGCUAGAAAUUCAAUUGCUUUGCAUUGUUUGGUAUUGAUGAAAAGUAGGGUCAUCGCCCUAAUUCUCUCUCUUCUCUUCAGAUGGUGGCCGGCCAUCAAAGGCAACCAGCACAUACACAUGAGACAAUUUUUCUCCCAUAUCUGUCAUUAUUUCUUCGAUCUGGAAUUUUGUAAUUUUGAGCUCCACCCUGAUUGAUAGUUUCUACGGAGAAUUGAAGGCCUAGGCUAGAAAUUCAAUUGCUUUGCAUCGUCUGGUAUUGACGAAAAGUAGGGUUAAUGUGAUUUUGGUGGCUCGUGUGAGAAUGUUGUGAAUUUGAUGCUUCCGUUUUCGACGGAGACGCUGAGUUCGGGUUUGAAGUCGCAGUAGAUUCUUUAAUAGACACGAAACUCAGUUUCCUUCGAUGACUUCCACAGAUUCUCAGCAUAAUUUCUUAGUGAAGGGAAACGCCUCUUCAAUAUCAUAAAACGAUCUUCCAACAAUUUUGAAGUUAUGACAGGGGCAACGAAGAAACGAGCAAAGGCAUCAGUUUCAAGUCACAAUGGAAAUAAAUCUAAAUCUAGCUCCAAGGUAGAUUAGAUUGUCUACAACGACACUAGAUGGUUGGCAUUCCUGUGUACAAAUGGAGUUGAGCUACAAUAGGAAAUUAUUCAUGUACAAGUUGGCAUUUAUGCCAUGUAUAUUUAUUUAUUUAUUUACGUAUAAUUGAAAAUUUUAUUAUACAAUUAUGUUAUGAUACAAAGAACAAAUAAUUUUUAACUUGGGAUGUAUUCUAUUCAUAUUAAUGUGUUCUAGUGAAGAUCAUUCAUUCUUGGUUUAU
Molecule: long non-coding RNA, 1039 nt
Organism: Cornus florida
Lineage: Eukaryota; Viridiplantae; Streptophyta; Magnoliopsida; Cornales; Cornaceae
Exons: 3
Source: RefSeq, a predicted model, not a curated record